GGGCAGGAUCAGGACUCGUUUGGAGGGAACUUCACCGAGCCCUUUGUAGGGAAUAUCACAGAUCUGAAUGUCUGGGACACAGCCUUGGAGCAGAGGCAGUUCCAUGCCCUGAAUGGCUGCUCAUCUUUGACCCAGGACGCUAUCUUUACCUGGAGUAUAGAUAAUAUGACCCGUCACCCAGUGGUCAGAGAGGUGCCAGCCAUGCUGUUCUGCCCAGCGGUCCACAGGCAGAGGGAGAUGCAGGGCUGCAGGACUCUGGAGGGCUGGUCUAGCCAACAGCUCCCCCUGUAUGACUCUGCAGACUGCUCCACCACACUGCCCUUCAUCUGCAGGACCAGCAGGGAGAGCUAUGUUAAGAUGAAGGAGUUGAGUGAGUCUCAGCGCUCCCAUCCUAGUCCCUUCAUGCACCACCUCAUGCAGAUCUCCAAUGGAACGCAGG
This is a long non-coding RNA of Oncorhynchus tshawytscha (Chinook salmon), 439 nucleotides long. Lineage: Eukaryota; Metazoa; Chordata; Actinopteri; Salmoniformes; Salmonidae. The record is from Ensembl.